This is a non-coding RNA of Potamilus streckersoni, 72 nucleotides long. Lineage: Eukaryota; Metazoa; Mollusca; Bivalvia; Unionida; Unionidae. The record is from the annotation of a GenBank genome assembly.
ACUCUGGUGGCCUAAUGGUUAGAGCGUCCGCCUCAGAUGCGGAAGAUCGUGGGUUGGAUCAACGGCUGAGUC